GUAGGCCAGAAGAACGCGUGCGUGUCGUGUGUCUGUGACAGCAGCAGCAGCAGCGGACUCGGCCUCGGCCUCCAGGGGCCCCGAGCUCUUCUAUGGGUGUCUCAAACAGAAGGCUGCACACAUUUAAAUUCAGGAAAAUAAACUGAAAGAAGGAGUCGGUACUGAUCAUCUGAAUCUUAGGAUGCAGCCUUCUGUUCGAGAAGCUCCUCGUGCUCGCUAAAAGUGAUUAGAACCAGUUCAAAAAACGACUCGGAGGUUAUGUUACGCUGGAACGGGCUUGUCCACAUGUUUGAGCGCUGCACGACAGAACAGAUCAUGACGUCAUCUUGAACUUAUUUCCAUCUACAAUACUUAUUUUUUUUUACAUUUCUAUCAGCCAAUGAUCAUUCUAAAAGAAAAAGUCCCGAGUAUAGAUCAGUGACUGAUUGACGGAUAAACCGCGAGCUCUGCAUGGUGAGAUUAUAGAUUCCUUCAAUCUAAAAACAAAGAAGAAUCGAGAACAACAGUGAGGACUCGACUGCCCUAGCUUUCGUGCUCUACACUUCCACUGACACGAGACACGAGCGAGCUGAGAACUGCGGUAGCCGCGCUCUGCUGGACUUUCAGGAUCUGAGUGUGCUUCUGAAGAGCUGAUUUUCCUGCUCGGUCUGGAUGCCUUCAGCAUCAUGUGGUUGUGAAGCACCUGUCUGGAAAUGUACAGCAUAUUUGUGUUGAAUGUAAACAAGGAUUAGUUUGAAGAGGAGAGGCCAGACAUGACAGCUUUUCAUCUGCACCAGCUACUUUUUCUGUAAAUAACAUAUCUGG
Molecule: long non-coding RNA, 804 nt
Organism: Sinocyclocheilus anshuiensis
Lineage: Eukaryota; Metazoa; Chordata; Actinopteri; Cypriniformes; Cyprinidae
Source: Ensembl